Molecule: unclassified non-coding RNA, 326 nt
Filed under: soil metagenome
Description: partial contains 5.8S ribosomal RNA, internal transcribed spacer 2, and large subunit ribosomal RNA
Rfam family: 5.8S ribosomal RNA (bases 1-120)
Source: RNAcentral
GAUGAAGAACGUAGCGAAAUGCGAUAAGUAAUGUGAAUUGCAGAAUUCAGUGAAUCAUCGAAUCUUUGAACGCACAUUGCGCCCCUUGGUAUUCCGAGGGGCAUGCCUGUUCGAGCGUCAUAUUAACCACUCCCGCUUGCGGGGUCUUGGGCUUCGCCUCCGGGCGGGCCUUAAAAUCAGUGGCGGUGCCGUCGGGCUCUACGCGUAGUAAAUUUUCUCGCGAUAGGGUCCCGGUGGAUGCUUGCCAACAACCCCCAACUUCUUAAGGUUGACCUCGGAUCAGGUAGCGAUACCCGCUGAACUUAAGCAUAUCAAUAAGCGGAGGA